This 433-nucleotide ribosomal RNA is filed under the name uncultured bacterium. RNAcentral describes it as "partial 16S ribosomal RNA". It matches the Rfam family "Bacterial small subunit ribosomal RNA", at positions 29 to 507 of the family's 1533-position model. The record is from RNAcentral.
AACGAACGCUGGCGGCAUGCCUAACACAUGCAAGUCGAACGACACCUUCGGGUCUAGUGGCGCACGGGUGCGUAACGCGUGGGAACCUGCCCUUAGGUUCGGAAUAACUCCCCGAAAGGGGUGCUAAUCCCGGAUACUGUCUUCGGACCAAAGAUUUAUCGCCUUUGGAUGGGCCCGCGUUGGAUUAGCUAUUGGGUAGGGUAACAUCCUACCAGGGCUACGAUCCAUAGCUGGUCUGAUAGGAUGGUCAGCCACACUGGGACUGCGACACGGCCCAGACUCCUACGGGAGGCAGCAAUGGGGAAUAUUAGACAAUGGGCGAAAGCCUGAUCCAGCAAUGCCGCGUGAGUGAUGAAGGCCUUAGGGUUGUAAAGCACUUUUAACCGGGAUGAUAAUGACAGUACCGGGAGAAUAAGCUCCGGCUAACUCCGUG